UGUGGGAGCUGGCUUGCCUGCGAUGCAGGCGACUCGGUCCUUCAGUUGAACCGAGGUGAUGCUAUCGCAGGCAAGCCAGCUUCCACA
Molecule: unclassified non-coding RNA, 87 nt
Filed under: Pseudomonas sp. bs2935
Lineage: Bacteria; Pseudomonadati; Pseudomonadota; Gammaproteobacteria; Pseudomonadales; Pseudomonadaceae
Source: RNAcentral